CAGCUCUCGGAGGCGCCUUCCCUUUGAUCUAGGAGGGCCCGGCCCCCACCCACUACAUCGGGGACGCAAUUUCCCUUUCUAAGGGGACUGGAUGCUCCCAGAUGCAAGAGUCAGUGACUGGAGUCCGACUGGGGCAGGCCAGGGUCCCUUUGUGCAGAGCCCGGAGCGGCCGUCACAGGCAGUGGGAACCCGAGGGCCAGAGGCCCUGAGAGCUCUGGGUCGACAGUGCCUGACAGGUGCUGGCACAACGCCAUGGCAACAACUGACCAAGCAGUUUCUCUGGAGCAGACAGCCUGGGUCCAAAUCGCAGCCUCCUUGCUAGCUGUGUGAUCUCAGACAGGUGACUUAACUUUUCUGUGUCUCAGUGUCCAUGUUUGUAAAAUGGCAAUGUCACAAUAUCCAUCUUAUGAAGUUGUCAAGACUAAAAGAGUUAAUAUUUAUAAAGUCUUAGAAGAUGAUGGAACAUGAUAGUGUAUGAAAAUAGAAUGUGUACAUGUAUGUGUAACUGGGUCACCAUGCUGUACAGUAGAAAAAAAAAAGUUGUAUUGGGGAAAUAACUAUUAAAAAAAUUGAAAAUAAAUAAAUAAAUAAAAAAUAAAGUCUUAGAAGUGCCUAGCAUGUGGUAACUGUUCAACAAGCAUUCGGUGUUUUUUCUUUUUCUUUUUUGUUCUUUUUUGUUGUUGUUUUUGGGGCUGAGCUUGUGGCAUAUGGAAGUUUCCAGGCUAGGGGUCACAUCAGAGCUAUAGCUGCUGGCCUACACCACAGCCACAGCAAGGCAGAAUCUGAGCCGCAUCUUUGACCUACACCACAGCUCAUGGCAACACCAGAUCCUUAACCCACUGAGCAAGGCCAGGGAUCGAACCCACAACCUCAUGGUUCCUAGUCAGAUUUGUUAACCACUGAGUCACGACGGGAACUCCCUUAGACUCUAGUCAACAGAAAUUGAGAAGAGGCCAGACAAGAAAUCCAGGUGAGACUUUGUCGGGAUUCAAGGCUUUAUUGAGACUUGAGUUACAGCACGAUGGAGUGAAAACGAUCAACAGAUUCCCUUGCUCGCUCCCUGGGUUGAGGAGGCGGC
RNAcentral lists this long non-coding RNA (1078 nucleotides) under Sus scrofa (pig). RNAcentral describes it as "lncRNA (ENSSSCG00045037833.1)". Lineage: Eukaryota; Metazoa; Chordata; Mammalia; Artiodactyla; Suidae. The record is from RNAcentral.